AAAAAGAAAGAACGUACACCGCAAUAAUUAAUUACAACAUGUCAUUCCUGUGAAGCACAAAAAUACUGAAUAGUUGCAGAGCACUUUAUUUACUUUACCCAGAAAAUCUUUCAAUGACAUUUAAAUAAUUGCUUGUUUACACUUUGCAGAGAAUGGGAAGUUAUAAACUAUAUGCAAGGUACUAAAUCUUUUUAUUGAAAAUCAUUCAAUCCUGUGCUUGAUAAAUUUGGUAAAAUGUUUGCUAACAGUUAUCCAUCAAAAUUAUUCAAAUUAUCCUUAAUCUAAAGGUUAAAUUUUUUUUAUCAGCCACAGGUCAUAAUGUAAUUCAUUUGACAACAUUGUGAAAAGUACAGAGAGAUCAAGCUUUAUUAUCUCAGUUUUCUAGAAGGAAAAGUGAAGCUAUAAAAGAUAUAUGUCACAGCUAAUGUUGGAGAUGGAAAUAGGUUCUGGUUUCACUCACAUUUUACCAUGUGACAUAUAUAAUAUAUAUCUGGCUGGAUUUGAUUUCUGCUAUCUUUCUUAAUUGAGGUAAUUAUUUUUUUAGUGGCACCCAAAUAAAAGCACUUAAUAAUAAAUACUUUUUUAAAAAAAAGAUAGUCAUUAAGCUCUUUGAAUGUCAGUUUUCCUUCUGCAAAGUGAGAAUGAUGUAGAAUAUAGCGUCUAAGUUUGAAUAUAUUUUAAAAUCCAUGAGGAAUUAAGUCCUCUUGGUCAAUUCUAGAUUUUAAGCACCUAGAAUGUUUUUCUGGCAUGUAGAUUGUGCACAGUAAUUAUUUGUUUAAUUAAACUGAACUGAAGUGAAUGGUUCUUUCCAACUCCAUGUUUCGUUGUUCCUGAUCAUUUUAAAACAAUGGCACUCUUUGACUGAUGGUACAUGCAUGAUCAAUCCCUGAAGCAACAGAAAAGAGAACAACCCCAAAGAUGAAGUGAUGCCUCCCUUUGACAUGCAGUUGUGUAGCUAAAAUGAUGGAGAAAUUUGUGAAUCUGAGUCCCACAAUAGUACCUGAGAUUUACUGACUUUUCCGAAGAAUAAAACCAGGGUAAACAAUCUAGAAUAAAGUCCAGCAAAGAUCUCCAGCAGAGAUUAAUUCUGUCCCUGGAAGACUGACUGACAAUGUCUCAGGAGGUUUACAGUAAUGCCAUUAAAGGUGGAGCCACUGGGCUUUCUCUGAGGAGUCUGUAAAGGAAUUACCUUGUUUCUCUUUGUGCAGUUUGAUAAGCUGAGGGAAAAAAUGAUAAUGGCUCCCUAGAACAUUUGACUCACGGAAGGAGGUAAAUCUUAAUGACUUCCCAAUGGACUAACUUGUUUGUUCACAGUUGAUUUUCCUCAACUUCCAUUUCAAGUGUAGCUAGAACAAGUUACAUUGGAAAUGUCUUCUUCAGGCUUUGAUUUGUUCUGUAGCUACUUAACCUUUCCUCUCCCAAAUUCUUAUAGCAGUGAUGAAAACAUGAACAUGGUUUAAUUCAUAUAAAUAUUGAUAAAUUUGUAAGUUGAUAAAAUUAUUUUCUCUGUGCCAGUACUUUAGAAAAAUAGAGAAAUUUAAAUAAAUCUUAUAUCUAUAACCAAGUUGGUGUUAUGAAACCCAACUAGAGUCCAUUCGCCCUAUGGAGUAAGACCAGAUAACCACACGAAGGUUUUUAGUGAAGAAAGAAGGGUGUUUAUUUGCAGGGAGCCCAGUAAGGAGGACUAGGCUUCUAAUGCUUAAGAUUUGACCUCCCUGAUGGCAUACAAGCAAAGGUUUUUAAAGACAAGGGUAAAUUUUAGGAAAGCAGAAGUUAUAGACAAAAUUAUAAAUCAAUGAACGAAGGUUACGUAUUGCUUUUGGCUUAACAGGGUAGAAUGUCUUGAAGUAGGAGCUUAAAGGUCCUUAAAGGUCCUACUUUGCAAUUGAUUAAGGAAGAUAAGCUUCAUUAAAAAAAAAUUGGAGGGUAACAGAAAAGAGUUAGCUAUGGCUCAUGGGUGUGACUGUUGUCACCACUGGGUUCUUCUUGCUCGCUGCUCAGAAAAAAAGUAAUUGGUUCUGGCUGAAUGUGAUUUCUGUUAUCUUUCUUAAUUGAGAUAAUUAUUUUUUAGUGGCACCCAAAUAAAAGCACUUAAUAAUAAAUAAUAAAUAAUUUUUUAAAAAGAUAGUCAUUAAGCUCUUUGAAACCCUGUUUUCCUUCUCCAAAAUGAGAAUUAUGUAGAAGAUAGUAUCUAAGUUGGAAUACAUUUUAAAAUCUAUGAGGAAUUAAGUCUUCUUGGUCACUUCUAGAUUCCAAGUACUAAAAACAGCCAAUGCACUGAAAACAGCAGGUGUUAUAGCAGAGAAAGAGUCUAAUAAUCUCAGGAUGACUAAGCAAGGAGGACAGGAAAUAUUUUUCAAAUUUGCCUCCCCAAGAAUUUAGACACUAGGGUUUUUAAGGAUUGCUUGGAGGGCAGCGGAGUAGGGAAUUGGUACUAUUGAUUGGUUGGAUCGGGGUGAAAUCACAAGGGUGCCAAAAUUGUCCUAGUGUGCUAUCAGGUCUAGGGGGGAGGGAUUUGUCGCCAGUCCAAGCGGCAUCAGUUGGUCCACAAGAAUGCAAAGUUUGAAAAAUAUCUCAAACACAUCUUAGGUUUUACAAUAACAAUGUGAUCUGUAGGGGCAAAUGGGAAAGUUAGAAAUCUACGUCUAAAUUAUAGGGGCAAAUGGGAAAGUUACAAAAGGCAAACUAGAAAACAAUAACCAGUUAUAUUUAACUAUGCCUAGGACUUAGCAGAAUUCAGGGUCCUCCCAUAAUUCUAAAGUCGUAGCCUUUCAUUAGGUUCAUAAAGCUGGUUUUGGGUCGCAACAAGGAGGGGUUAGUUUUGGGAAGGGACUAUGAUCAUCCUUGUUUUAAAGUGAAAGUAUAAACUAAACUCCUCCCAUAGCUAGCUUGGCGUAUGUGCAGGAAUGGGCAAGAACAGCUUGUGAGGUUAGAAGCAAGAUGGGGUCAACUAUAUUAUAUGUCUCUCACUAUUGUAAUUUUGCAAAGGUAGUCUCAUGACUUUCUCCAGGCCUCUCAGAAAGAAAUUUAAAACAAAGAAUGAUGGUCAAAGUUCAGACCUUAGUUUCCCCUUAUUUGAGGUCUACAUGCCAAUGGAUCCAUUUGGUAGGGAUCUGGGCUUUGGAGAAACAACUUAGACACUUAUAUUGUUAUCUUUAGUUUCUAUAGGGAACAAAAUGUCUCGUGAGUUCGACUUCAUUGGCUAUUAUUUUAAGCUACUGUUACAUUCUGGCUUAUCACAUCUUUUAUUUACUUCUCAAGGCUAGCUAGGUGCCUGAAAUUUCCUUUGAAGGAACUCAAGAUUUCUCUUUAUUUCCAUACUUGGUGGGGAGGUACACCUGACUCUAAGAGGGGGGUCCCGGCUCUGUCUCACUGGUGAAACUCUAAUAAAUAGUCUAAACAUCCAUUUAUGUUCAGCUUAAAAUCAGAAAUGUUAGUACCCAUUAAAACAUCCAAAAAGAUAAUUAAUAUUAUAAUUUUAGAGACCUGUUAGAUUUCAUGAUUACUGCUGAGCUUAACUACGGUGGCUUGUCAUAUGUAAAUAUUACCACUGACCUAAGAGCAGCAGCAUAUGCAUUUUCCAGGUUUUACUGUAACGUCUUUUAUCCUUAGAUAAGGAGCUUAGUGCCACAAAUCCACUGGUAUUUUCUUGUAGCCACAUUCUCUGGCCUAAUUUCUAGCACCUAUGGUGAGCCUUUUUGAUGUAUGGAUAAAGACUCAUCUAUGGAGAUGUGGCAUGUGUGCCAUUUUGUCAAAUAUUCAGCUCAGAUUUUUUAUUUGGUCCUGAUAUGGUUUGUCUGUGUCCCCACUCAAAUCUCAUCUUGAAUUGUAACUCCCACAUUCCCAUGUGUUGUAGGAAGAACCCUGUGAAAGGUAAUUGAAUAAUGGGGGUGAGUCUUUCCCAUGCUGUUUUCAUGAUAGUGAAUAAGUCACAUGAGAUCUGAUGGAUUUAAAAAUGAGAGUUUCUCUGCACAAGCUCUCUCUCUUUCUGCCUGCUGCCAUCCACAUAAGACGUGCCUUCUGCCAUGACUGUGAGGUCUCCCCAGCCAAGUGGAACUGUAAGUCCAUUAAAACCUUUUUUUCUUCCCAGUCUCAGGUAUGUCUUUAUCAGCAGUGUGAAAACAGACUAAUACAGGUCCCCUUUAUAUUGUCUCUUAAUUCUAAAAUGCUAUUUUUACAAGAAUUGACAACUUUAUAAAAUGCGUAACCCUAAGUAGAGCAUUUUUUUGUUAUUGGUAAAGUGGGUCUAUAUCAGAUGGAUUUUCCCAAAAGAUAUUUUCCUCUACAAGUCAGAUUAAUAACAAUAAGAUAAAAUCAGUGGGAGGCUGACAUUCAAGUCAUUUAAAAGCUAAAAAAGCAAAUAGAAAGCAAAUAUAUGCUGGUUCUCAAAUCAGAUUGCCCACUAACAAUAAAGGAAGGCUACUUGUGUAGUCCCAGAACUAUGAAAAAUGCUCUAUGUGUCCUAUGCUUUAUGUGUCCUUGGUUUUGCUGUUUCCUAUCCUUGGUUCAGAGCAGUGAGGAGACAGAUUCCAAAAUUGCACUGUUCUUUACUUUUUGAGCAGGCCUCCUUCCCACCAAAGAUUGUUCCAAUAUGCAUAUUCUACAAAUACACUCAUUAAGUUUAAAAACUUCAACUUAGACCAGCUGUCUUAUUUUAAACUUUGUCUUAAUUAUACAUAAGUAGAAAAAGCUGUUUUAACAAUUUGAUAUAAGUGGUCAUCAAAUCAAAGAGAAAAUAAUUUUCUUGUUACAGCUACUUCUUCAUAUAAAUGAUCUACUAUUUGGAUUAUGAUGCAAAUAUUGGAUGGGAGUGCUUCCAACAUCUUCACGCUUAGCUUCGUCACCAUGAGGAUAUAGUCCAGAUGCCAUAACAUUAUUAGCAGAAGCUGGAAAUGUGCUUUGAAGGAUAUAUUCCUGACAUUUCUGUGGAAACAACAAGACUGUGAAUGGAAAGCCUUCAGGCAUGAAUGGGCUUAAUAAGUCACGGAUUCUGGGUCAGUGUUUGAAAGGCUAGAUUUGUAUAGUUAAAAGUUCUUUGCAAGACCAAGCUUUCCCUUUGGAUGCAAGUUGCAUGGCAUAAUCCCAGAUGGACCAGCAUGGAUAUUUCCCUGGCAUAACUUGUUCUUUUACAUCUGUGGAGCAGCAGUGAGUUGAUUGUGUCUUCUUGAAGAUCAAGACUGGUGAGGAUGUUUGGAUAAUAAUCAAAAGACUAUGUUGGACACCAUAGUCUUGAAAAUAUUUAACAGCAUCCUCUCUGUGCUAAUAUGAACUUUGAAGAAAAUGAUGCAGUAGGAUACAGAAAAGCUUCAAAAUACAUUCAUGGGAAACAAUAAUGAUGUUUAUUGGAAUUAAUCACUGCUAAAUACCCUCUUAUAACAGGACAUUUGGAUGGUUCUAGCUAAUGCCAGAGAGGGGUAGAUUUUAUAAAAAGAUAAGAAAAGAUUAAGGAAAAUCAUGAAUAAGGAGAAGAAGAAGACUGGGACAUUUAUAAAUAAGGUACAGAAUCAGAGUAUGUAAGGCAUGAAUGGAGUCUUGGAGUGUAAUGGGAGGUAAUUUGCUACAUCUAGUUGCAUCCAAAUAUGGUGCUGAGACUUUCUUUUCCACCUUAGUAUUGAUAUGUCUGUUUAUCAAGGGCCCCAUUUUUUGCUUUCAGGUAUUUUCAACUAAUUUAGAUCCUUAAAAACAGUGGGUUCCCAAGAGAUUACAUGGGAUUUAGCCAAAUUUCAGAAUAUGGCCAAGUACUUUUACUAAAAUAACCAAAUGCUAGCAGUUGGCAACUUUGAUGAGCCCUAAUUCCCAGGGACCUAGAGAAUAUCUUCUAUGCCAGAUAAUAUAAAUUCUUAUUUGAUCAGCUGUGAUAUAUUCUGUAUGCAUUGGCUGCAUUUUUACAUGGCUUUCCAGAGCAAGCCAUAAUAAAGUCUUCAUCUGGAAGCUGAUUUUUUAAAUCCUUUUCUUGACUUUAGGCCAUUCCUCCUUCUCCUAAAUCACUAGUUCUCAAAGUGUCGUCUGUAGAUUAACAGUAUCAACAUUGGCUGGAAGCUAAUUAGAAAUGCAAAGUUUUGAGCCACACCUCAGAUCUACUUCAGAAACUCAGAGGCUGACUAAACUUUGCAUCUUGUUAAGUCUUCCAGGCAAUUUUAACACAUGCUAGUGUUUGAACACCACCUUCCUAAGGUUGUGCAUGAGCUCUGUCAGCCUGGGUAAGCCUCAUGCAUUGAGUUUUAUGGGAGAGCUAGAGCAGGUUUGUCAACCUCUCUCCUUUUUUCUCGAUUUGCUCCAUACUCAGUUCCACCAGGGCCUGCUCUUUGGAUGCUCAGGAGCACAUAUUGGAGGUCAAAACAACUGCCUUUCUCUUUAUCCUUUUGUUUUAACAACCUAAUUUUCCUUGAGGUGGUGUGGAGUCAUCUGACUGAGAAGGGGAGAGGGUUGGUAAAAAAGGAAGUAUAGAAAAGGGAAAAAAAAAUCUUUUUAGAUACACUCUUGCUACCUGGGAAGACAAUGUCAGACAAUUAUAUGAUCCACCUAAUUUAACGUCUUUUUUUAUUUUUAGCAGAUAUAUCACAUGGAGAAAAUAUACUUUUAUGUAAAUAAAAAUCAGUGAAAUAAAUUUUGCUUUGCUUUGUGCUUAGUGUAUGUGAUAUUAAUAACCAAUAAGUUAUUAGAGGUUCUUCUUUCUUUUAUUUUAAAUUACAUUCUUAAUCAAUGUAUUUUAAAUCAUCUCUCUUACUGCUUCCAUACCUCUAGAUUAUAUAAGAAUAGAAAAUAUGACUCUCAGAAUGAUCAGCCUGAGUAAUGCAACAUUUCAGAUAAUCAAAACAAUUUCACUAAGUUUGUCAGCAUCCAGUAUGGUAAGCUCCAAUCACAAAGAUAAAAUAAUCAGAAUUUCCACUCAUAGUUUAACUUAAGUUGCCAUCUCCUAUUAGAUUUAGGUCAAUGCCUCCUCAAAAGUUAUAUACAGAUACAGUGACUGACUCUUCAUUCAAAAAUAUUUACUUUAUAUUUUUAUCACAUAGGGAAAAAAACAGUCUGUGUGUGUGUUUAUGUAUGUGUGUCUUCAAUCUCUGUUUCUCUGUCAUCUUUUUCUUGUCUGCAUUAGUCCAUUCUCACGCUGAUCUGAGGAAAUACCCAAGACUGGGUAAUUUAUAGAGAAAGAGGUUUGACUCACAGUUCCACAUGGCUGGGGAGGCCUCAGGAAACUUACAAUCAUGGUGGAAGGCACCUCUUCACAGGGCAACAGGAGAGAGAAUGAGUGCUGAGCAAAGGGGAAGCCCCUUAUAAAAUCAUCAGAUCUCAUGGGAACUCCCUAUCACAAGAACAACAUGGGGAAACCACCCCCAUGAUUCAAUUACCUCCACCUGGUCCUGCCCUUGACACGUGGGGAUUAUUAUAAUUCAAGGUGAGAUUUGGGUGAGGACACAGAGCCAAAUCAUAUCAUUUUCCUUCUUUAAACACAUAUUUGUUGCCUCUACCCUAUUAAAAUAAAAUAGCAUAAAAUACUUCUCUCAUUAAUCCUGUUCCAAAAAAUCUAUUCUACCUCUGUAUUUUCGUUGAAAAGUAUGAAUGUGAGUUAUUUUAAGUCUACAGGAAGCCUACUGUAUGGAAACAACUUCUUAAUAAUUUCAGUUAUAAAUGAUAUUCUAUUCACUAAGGCUGCAAAUUUAAAGCCACAUUAUU
This 7674-nucleotide long non-coding RNA is filed under the name Homo sapiens (human). RNAcentral's name for it is "HSALNT0264076". The record is from RNAcentral. Lineage: Eukaryota; Metazoa; Chordata; Mammalia; Primates; Hominidae.